This 468-nucleotide ribosomal RNA is filed under the name uncultured bacterium. RNAcentral describes it as "partial 16S ribosomal RNA". It matches the Rfam family "Bacterial small subunit ribosomal RNA", at positions 28 to 507 of the family's 1533-position model. The record is from RNAcentral.
GACGAACGCUGGCGGCGUGCUUAACACAUGCAAGUCGAACGGAAAGGCCCUGCUUUUGUGGGGUGCUCGAGUGGCGAACGGGUGAGUAACACGUGAGUAACCUGCCCUUGACUUUGGGAUAACUUCAGGAAACUGGGGCUAAUACCGGAUAGGAGCUCCUGCUGCAUGGUGGGGGUUGGAAAGUUUCGGCGGUUGGGGAUGGACUCGAGGCUUAUCAGCUUGUUGGUGGGGUAGUGGCUUACCAAGGCUUUGACGGGUAGCCGGCCUGAGAGGGUGACCGGCGUCAUUGGGACUGAGAUACGGCCCAGAAGCCUACGGGAGGCAGCAGUGGGGAAUAUUGCACAAUGGGCGGAAGCCUGAUGCAGCAACGCCGCGUGCGGGAUGACGGCCUUCGGGUUGUAAACCGCUUUCGCCUGUGACGAAGCGUGAGUGACGGUAAUGGGUAAAGAAGCACCGGCUAACUACGUG